This 30996-nucleotide long non-coding RNA is filed under the name Vitis vinifera (wine grape). Its description in RNAcentral is "long non-coding RNA (VVIN_LNC006452)". Lineage: Eukaryota; Viridiplantae; Streptophyta; Magnoliopsida; Vitales; Vitaceae. The record is from RNAcentral.
UGAGUUGUUUGUUAAUUGAGGUAUUCCACUAUAUCGAACACCAUUCCAUGGUCCAGCACGAAAGUUUAUUACAAAACCAUUCCUCAAAACUAGUUGUGGAAAUCCAUUUAGAUCAAUCUCACAAGUGAAAUUACCUUUAGAAGGGUCAUCGGCACUCUUCCAUGAUGACAGGUACCAAUCAAGGCCUGUUACUCUGUUUCUUCCAAGCUUCAUACCUGGUAGAAGAGUAUCGCCUGGAUAAUCAAAACUCUGCCAUAGGAAGUUUUCUGGGUCACUAUCAUUGCCAUUUCUCAUAACAAGAUUUCCAGAUUCCAAAAGCUGAGCGUUUGGAUCCAGUGCAGAAUGUGAUGAAUUAGAAUUCCAAAGAAUUCCAUUAGUAUCGUUGACCAGAACAAGAAUUCCCUGCUGAGUGACUUUUAAAACACCUGAUGAAUCAGUUAGUGGACUUUCUCUAUUGGCAACCCAUACCACUGUCCGAGGAGCCACUUUCUUGUACCAUAUCCCCAAGUAUCGAUUCUUGGAAUUACCUGGACUGAAGAAACCCAAUUCAAAGGUCCCACCUGCUGAAGUGAUGGUCUCACCGUCUCUAAUGUGUUGAUUUACAGUUAUGGUGUCUACUGCAAUAGAGAUUCUUAUGAGGGAGAAUACAUAGGAGAAGACAAAUACAACAGUUCUAAGAGCAUUCAUAGUUGUUCCUAGAUAAGGAAUGCCUGAGAUUUUAGGUGUUUUUCAUGUCUCCUUAUAUUUUUCUUCCCCCUGUAAGAUUUGUCACACAUUUCUUCAUACAUCAAAGUCAAUGUAACUUUCCAUUGGUCAACCAUAACUUGGGAAAUCUAUUCAUUCCAUUUUUUUUUAUUUGUAUUCUAUGGUGUGGUCCCUUGAGUUGAAUAUAUGAAUUAACAUCGCAUCCACAUCCAAAUUUAAUUUUCCAUACCUUUGAAAAUGGACAAGGGAUUAGUUUAUACUACUUAGUAUGGCCAAUCUUAUCUCUUCUUUAAUUAGAAGCAUUACAAGUUGAAGUAAGGACCAAUAACAUAUUUUAGGUGUUUUCCAAGUCUCCUUAUAUUUUCCUUUCCCUCCUAAGAAUUGGCAUUGGGUUUGAUUUGUUUGACUUAGAGAAGAACAUUACCUCCACAUAUGUGCCUAUCAGUAACAUCCAUCGUUGGACUCAUUAUCCAAUGGUCAUCAUCUUCUCCUGCCUCCAAAUUUGAUUUUUCUAUACCUCUUAAAAUGGACUAGGUAUUAGUUUAUCCCUUUGAAUCUAAUAUCCUAGAUUACAACAAUAUAUGACCAAUUUCACCUUUUCUUUAGAGCUAUGUUUUGUUCAUGGAAAGUAUGAAGAAAAGAAAAAAAAAAAAAAACUGUGGAGGGAAAUGGUUUUCUCAUGUUUGGUUUCAUUGUGGAAAAUAUGAAAGAAAAUCAAAAUUAAUUUAAAUUAGUUAGAAAUUCAUGCAUCUUAAAAUUAUUUAAUCUUUAUAUAAUGGAGGAAAGUAAGUAAAAUGAGUUUGAAAAAGCAUAUAAAAAUAAUUUAUUGACUUUGAUUUUUUAUUUUUUAUUUUUCCUUCACUCUUUUUUCUUGACAUUUUUUCUCCCUAUUUUCUUUUUCUCACAUUUUUUCUUAAAUUUUUCAAGAACCAAACAUAACCUAAAAGAAUUACUAGUUGAAGUAAAAAAGACCAAGAACAAAAUGAAUGUUGUAGCAACCCUCUUUCCUUACCAAAGUUUACAGGAUAGGUUAGUUACAACUCACAGCCACUGGUAGGAUUGAAAAUAAAAAUGCAUACAAGGAAUACUGAAGAGUAGCUUUCAUGACUUGUCAUGAUGUGCUAGGAAGACUUUUGGACUGACUAAUUAGCCCAAAAGAUGCCCACUGGCUACCAUUAUUUGGAGUAUCUUGAGAGAAUGUUUCCAUAUCCAUUGGCAAUCUUUGCACCACUUUCCGAUGCCAUUAUAUCCCUCAUCUCUGUAGCCAUAAUAUCUAAUCAAGCAUGGACCAAGUUAGCAACCUUGUAUGCCAAUCAGUCUAAAGUCCGAAUCAUGGAUCUUAAGGACAAGCUUACCUAUGCAAAUAAAGGAGACAAAACCAUUACUGAGUACAUGUAUAUAGUGCACAAUGGAUGGAUUGGCUCUUGUCAAUGUUCAUAUUAAUGAUGAUGAUGUUACUUCAUGUUCUUCAUGGUCUUAGGAAGGAGUCCAAAGAUGUUUGCACUAUAGUUUGAAAUUGUAAGUUCUCAUGACCUUUGAAGAGCUUCAUGAUGCAUUGAUUGAACAUGAAAGGUCCCUUAAAGAAAAAGAAGCUCUCUCAAAAGACUCACCUUUCACUACCAAUUACUCUCAAAGAUCAAGGGAGCCCACCAAUCUCUAAUCCAAGGGAUCAUACAAUAAAGGUAUCAAUCUAAAGGCACCAUGAACCCAACUUCUGAUUGUGAGCAUGGACAUCAAAGCUGUAAUCAGAACCACUCCAAGCCUCAAUCUAAUAUGGUGUGUCAAUUGUGACAAACCUGGCCACAAUGCCAAACACUACUACCAAAUUUGAGGGUAUUCACCUAAAGCACCAUAAGCAAAUUAUACCACUCAAAUUAGGUCAAAUCCUUACCAUUGGUUGACUGACUCUAAGGCAUUACACCAUAUCACUUUCAACCCCAACAACUUGGGAAAUCAUUCUAAGUUUAACGGGAAUGAUGAUUGUUGGGAAACCUAGAUUGCUCUAUUCCUGGACCCAAAUCAUGUAGGGUGCAUGCAUUUAUCCCUAAGGCUCUUUAUAUCUAACAAAACAUAAAAACAUGGUGUCAAAAGCUAAUAUGAUUAAAUCUAGAGAAUAUUGAAAGGUAGAGGCAGACAUUUCUGGAUGAUCAAAUCUCUGGCAUAACAUGGUCACUUAUUUUGAGAACUAAUUUUAUGAAUCUAAACAUGCCAAUGGUAAAAAAUGGUUCAUUCACUGUAGGCUUAGCCUUCAUUUUUGGAUGUUCAUACUUUGAUUAAACCAGGAAUCCUGCCUGUCCGGGAGUUUCAUACCAGAUCACUUUACAACCUGUCGCUUAUCUGAUGAUCCAGUGGAGUAGUCCUUCCAUACACUCACAUUUUGAAAGGCUUCAUGAUAACUGAGCUAUUAACAAGCUCAUAAGUAGAUACAUCUCCAUUUCUUCAAAAGAAAAAGGAAAAAAAAAGGAAGCAUAUGUAUAAACUGGGUUUGGUGUUAAUAGAGGAAACCCACUAAAUCGAACGCCAUUCCAUUGUUAAGUGUGUUGCAUGGACAAUCAAAACUCUGCCAUGGGAAGUUCACUAUUAUUUCAAAUUUUAUGACAAGAUUUUUAAAUUAAAAAAUCUGAGCAUUUGGACUCUGCAGAAUGGAUUAUGCUAUUAGCAACACCCGGGAAUGGAAAGAGUUCCUUUGAAUUCCUAUAAAUUGGCGGAGUGGGAAUUAUACCAGUCUCCAUAGACACUUUCCUGUAUCAUAUCCCUAAAGUCUGAAUUUGUGGAUCGAAUUAUCUGGGCUGAAAAACCCCAGUUUAAAGUUGCCACCUGCUCCAAUGAUUAUCUCACCAUCUAUAAAGAGCUGAUUUACUGUUGACUUAAUAGAAUAAGACAAUUUUGGUUGGUUGACCAUGAUCAAUCAUUCAUUUUCCCUGGAUAUAUAUUCUAGCAUUAGGUGGCAUACAUUCCCUUCAAAUAAAUAACAAAAUCAAUCCCAAUUUACAGCUAGAAUCUACUUAAAUAUCACAUGUCAGCCCUACAAAAUAAUUAAGCACAUUAGUUAUUGUUUGUAGUCAUGUUUUUCCUUUUUGUUUAUUUAUUUUUAUUUUUACUUGAUUAUGGCAUGUUAAGAUGGGUAAUCUCAUUAAAUUAUUCCAGAGAGAAACCAAAACCCUUGUUAGAAGAAAAGAAAAAAAGACCAAAAACAGAGUCAAGGUUUCCUUAAAAGGUGCUAGUAAUAAGUAUCUUUAAAAAGAAUAGCUUUUAUUAUAUGGUCAUCUUUUAUUAUUGAACUUAUAUACUAUGAAUAACUAUCACCAUCCUUAUAAAAAGCAGCAAAAAAUAUUGAUCACCUAAUAACAUCUUAGAUGAAUCAAGGUUGAGAGGAGUUACUAAAAGUAAUUGAGACAUGAAAUUUAAGCUUAUAUGGUCAUAGGUCUAGAGAUAACAAAACAUUAACGUGAAACAUCUUAUUCUAUCGAGCUUCCAACAACGUGAUGGGGGAUUGAGUACCAGAUGGAGAACUUGCUUCCAUCAUACUCCUAUCAGUGAAGAAACAAGGCUCUUUGGGUUGAGGUAGUGCACCCUCACUACUCAACAUCAAAACCACAGAAUGCAUGCUUGGUCGAUCAUUUGGAAAACGUUGCACACAUAAUAGGCCCAAAUUGAUUAUGGGUAUAACUUCAGAUAGAUUGCAGGUGUUCCCCAAUGAUGCAUCAAUAAAUUCUGAAGACCUAUCUUCUUUAUAGAGUGUCCAUGCCUAGACAAUUGAAAAAAGAAUCAACACUUCUUUUAAUAUUGAAAUAGAGAAAUAUUACUUGAUACUUACAUGCCCAAGAAGAUUAAUGUUGCGAUCUGGGUGGUUAAAUCCUAUGUUUCUCUUCCCACUUACAAUCUCUAACACCAAAACACCAAAGCUAAAAACAUCGGAUUUUGUGGAAUACAAUCCUUCACUUGCAUACUCUGGAGACAUAUAACCUCUGUAGGAAGCCAUUGAAGAAGAGGUUGAAUUCACAAGCAACAAAGAUAAGAUUAUAUACACAUCACAAGAUAUACUUACAAUGUUCCAGCCACUCUUGUUGUAUUUGCUUCCGUUUCAUUUCCUCCAAAACUUCUUGCUAUUCCGAAGUCUGAAAUUUUGGGGCUCAUUUCAUUAUCUAGUAAAAUGUUUUCUGCUUUGAGAUCUCUAUGGAUUAUCCUGAGUCUAGAAUCUUGAUGAAGAUAGAGAAGGCCUCGAGCUAUCCCAUUGAUGAUGUGAAAGCGCUUGGGCCAAUCUAGUACCACGCUUCGCAUUUGAUCUGCCCAUUUUUUAUCAUUCAAGUUAACUUGUUCUACUACUUGGAUUGUUAUAAAUGGAAAAUAUUUCAAGAAACAAAUGAUUUCAAAUUCCAUGAGAGUUGUUUAGAGCAAUGACAUGUAAAAACAAAAGUGAGUAUGAUUAAAAAUCAUUCUCAAUGAUUAAAGAACAUUGUCAAGGACACACAAAUGGAUAAUGAUCUUAAUGGUAAGGAUCAAAACCCCUAGUUUUUAUACAAGAGCCACAAGAUUAGAGAAAAUAGAAGUAAGAAAGAUUUUCUAGAUAAAUGCAUCUACUCUUUAUCUUGUUCCCAACAAUUUUUCUUUGAGAUUGGUAAAAUUUGUUAUAAAUAAAGAAUUUUCCUAGCAUUUGCAUAGAAGAAAAAAAAAAAAAAAAGCCAUUCUAGUAGACAAAGAAACUAAAUAGUGGUUUUAGAGAGUCAAACCAAAAAUAAACAAGUCCAAGCUUUUGUUGGGCAAGUAUUCAUAGAUCAACAUCCUUUCUCUGCCAUGAAUGCAACAUCCAAGAAGCUUUACAAGAUUUCGAUGUUGAAGUUUUGCAAUGGAUUCAGCUUCAUUUUUUAACUCUUCUAAUCCUUGUCUAGAAGUUUUUAACAUCAUCUUCACUGCUAUUUCUUGUCCCUCUUGCAAUAUUCCCUAAAAACAACACAUUGUUUUUAUUUUGAAAGCUUUGCAAAUUAAAUGAAACUUAUCAAUAUUCAAAAUGAGUAGCCCUAAACAAACUAGUGACACAAAAAUGUUGGCACAUAUAUUGGCUUCAAGACAUUAAGGCAUAUAUCUUAAUGUGGCUUCAUUUAGAUACUAUGACAAUUGGGGACAAUGACAACUUCUCAAUAUGCUUAGAUGUGUGUUUUUAACUUGUAAGUUGUUGCAGGGCAUACCCUUACCUUGUAGACAGGCCCAAAACCACCCUCUCCAAGCUUAUUGUCACUAGAAAAGUUAUUGGUGGCAUUCAAUAAUGUAUCCAAGUCAAAUAAUGGUAUCUCUAGGUGCUCCUGACCUUCAUUGGUUUCAUCUCCCUCAAUAUUGUGUUCCAUGUAUCCUACAAAAUGGAGAAUGGAAUGAAGGAUUAAAGAAUGCAUAAAUCCUAUAUACAGAAAUCAUGAACUUGACCCAUCUCCAUGCCUAGAUCAUUUCAUCAUUUAUCAAAUCAAGCCAUGUAAAUCCCUUGCUCCUUUUUUGAGUAAUACAUAAUCAGACAACGUGUGGAAGUACUUCUGACUAAUGCACUUAGUGAUACAAGCACUAUGAUUUGUUACUUGCCUCUUCUCUUUAGCCGCCUCUUCCUCUUCUUUAGCACACACAGGGUUAAGACCAGACUUAAAAGAACUACUCCUGUGAUUGAUAUAGAGAUGGCAAUGGCUUGCUUUUUCUUCUUCUUGGAGCUGCUAUUUAGGCUUGACAAAGCAUCUUAACACAAAUGGAAAGAAAUUAAGUAGAAAAGCCAGUAAAUAAAAUAGAAAAACUAUAAAUUCCUAUAAGUAGUAACCACUAUUCCAAAAUAUAUUUUUAGUUUGCAACCAUGAAAGUAGAGUUCAAGGAACUGUAGUUGCCAUAGGAUUUGAGGGCACAAAUCAGUUGGUGUAUUGGUGUGUUAUAGCAUCUAGCUUACUAUAAUUGAAAUCUAAAAGAAAAAUAUUCCAACUUUUGAGUAGACCUCUGCUUUGCACUCUAGUCUUCAGAAAAUAAGUAUACUAUUCCAUGGAAGAAUGUGCUUGGCAGUUGGUCUUAGAUUUUUCACACCAGCAAUAAUUGAGACAGAGGUAAAGCGUUAAGUCACAAAAUCAAGGAUAAAACUAGAGGCACGUGUGCACGGUGAACAACUGAUUCAAAACCUUUGAAUAAAUAUACCAUGAAAUUUGUAUCAGAUUUAUGUUUCUUAGGCAACAAAAAGAAAAGUUUAUACCUGAUUCUGAUGCAGCCAUCCUUGCAUAAAACUCUUGCCCAUUUUGAGUGAAGUCUCUGAUGUCAAUCAAGUCAUCAAACCAGAGCAAGCAUCCACUUCCUCCUCCUCUGAUAUCUGAAUUUGCAUAAGCAGUGCAAGAGCAGUUCCUCAAGCACAGGGAAGCACAUUCCUUAAGGUUCAUGCUUUCAUCAAACCAGGAGUUCCGCGUGUCUGGCAGUUUCACACCAGAGUACUUUACAAAUCCAUCACCCUUUUGACAAUCCAGUGGAGUACUUCGAACGCAUCCCUUUGACCAGUCUGCCAUGUCCCAAUUGCUUUGGAACUUUGGCCUAAAUCCCUUCAUACACUCACAUUUUGGAGAUUCAUCAAUCUUACAGAUUCCAUAUACUCCACAUAUUGCAUAAUUGUCACAGUCAUCCUUCUGUGUGGUUGAGUAAAGAGUCCAUUCAUUUUUUUGAUCAGUCCAUGUGAAUCUUCGUGAAUAACCAUCAGGAGUUAACACAAGCCUCAUAAUAACUGAGCUGUUAACAAGAGAAUAAAUAAAAUAUAUCUCCUUUUCAUUAGAAACAAAAUUAAAUGUAUAAACUGAGUUGUUUGUUAAUUGAGGUAUUCCACUAUAUCGAACACCAUUCCAUGGUCCAGCACGAAACUCUACAGCUAAACCAUUCCUCAAUAAUAGUUGUGGAAAUCCACUUAGAUCAAUCCCAUAAGUAAAAUUACCUUUAGAAGGGUCAUCAUCACUCUUCCACGAUGACAGGUAUCGAUCCAGGCCUGUUACUCUGUUCCUUCCAAACUUCAUGCCUGGUAGAAGCGUAUCGCAUGGAUAAUCAAAACUCUGCCAGAAGAAGUUUUCUGAGUCACUAUCAUUGCCACUUCUCAUAACAAGAUUUCCAGAUUCCAAAAGCUGAGCAUUUGGAUCCUCUGCAAAACGUGAUGAAUUAGAAUUCCAAAGAAUUCCAUUAGUACCGUUGACCAGAACAAGAAUUCCCUGCUCAGUGACCUUUAAAACUCCCGAUGAAUCAGUUAGUGGACUUUCUCUAUUGGCAACCCAUACCACUGUCCCAGUAGCCACUUUCUUGUACCAUAUCCCCAAGUAUCGAUUCUUGGAAUUUCCUGGACUGAAGAAACCCAGUUCAAAGCUCCCACCCGCUGAAGUGAUGGUCUCACCAUCUGUAAUGUUUUGAUUUACAAUUAUGGUGUCUACUGCCACGGAGAUUCUUAAGAGGGAUAAUACAUAGGAGAAGAUAACUGCAACUGUUGUAAGAGAAUCCAUAGUUGUUCCUAGAUAGAAAAUGCCUGAGAUUUUAGGUGCUUUCCAAGUCUCCUUAUAUUUUUCUUUCCCCAUGUUAGAUUUUGCAUAGGUUGCUUCAUAUAUCAAAGUCAAUGUAACUCUCCAUCGUUAGCCAUAACUCCGGAAAUCUAUUCAUGUCAUUGUUUUUAUUGGCAUUCAAUGGUGGGGUCCGUUGAGUUAAAUAUAUGAAUGAUUUGUAUGACUUAGAGAAGAACAUCUCACCCACAUCCCCAUCCACAUUUAAUUUUCCAUACCUCUUAAAGUGGACUAGGAAUUAGUUUAUACAACAAGUUGAAGUAAGGACCAAUAACAGAAUGACUGUUGUAGCAACCCUCUUUCCUAGUCAAAGUUUACAGGUCAUUUACAACUCACAUACAGAGAACAUUCAUGUGGUCCAGUUUCUAAUUAAACUUCAAAUACUGAGUAGCUUUCACGACUUGUUAAAUAUUUGGAUUCUCUAGUUUCCUUUUUUUUUUUUUCCCAACUUUGGAACGAUGCCCACGUGACUUGUUGCCAGCUCUUGACUCAAAUUUAUAUGGGUGUAUAGACUUGUUUACACCUUAGAUAUUGAAAUGAAGCUUUGAGCGAAGUCAUCACAGUUGGCUGGACCUGCAUGGAAGUUGGUUAUGCUCCUCCGGGUAUAAAAAUUUAGAAGAGGACUACUUUGUUCUCUCACAAGUCCCAAGGCUCCUUGAGCUUCAAUGACUUGUUGUAGUGAUUUGAUGAGAGCAUCUCUAUCUCUGGGAUGGCUGACACCGAUCCUCUCAAUCAACAAAUAGCUCAUACAUUGUGACGAGGAAAGAAUGAUCUCAAUCAAUUAACAACUUACACAUUGAUCAUAAUUAGAGAAUCAUAACUCCUUUUCGCUAAAGGACUUAGGAGCUUUGCAUUAUUUUCUUGGAAUUAAAGUGUUUUGGGAUUCCAUAGGACUUUAUCUAACUUGGUCCAAAUAUAUACUUGACUUGUUAAAAUGAACUAACAUAGAACCAGCCAAAAGUUGCCCUACACUAGCAAUUAUGGGCUUACAGCUAUCCAUUUCUAGUGCACCUAACUUGAACAAUGAGAAGUUGCAUCACAACACUGUAGGGGCAUUACAAUAUCUCAUGAUUACUUGACUAAAAUAUCAUACAUUAUAAACAAAUCAAGUCAGUUUUUACAUUUUCCAACUGAUAUGCGUCAGAAAGUUUGUAAAUGAGUCUUGAGAUACUUGCAUGGGAGUAUUGAUCAUGGCCUACACAUUCAAUCAGCUUCUGCAUUUAGUCUCACUAGCUUCUUAGAUGCUGAUUGGGUCAGAUGUGUUGACGAUCCAAGGUCUGUUAAUGGCUUCUAUGUUUUUCUUGGUCCUAACAUUGUCUCAUGGAGUUCACGUAAGCAAAAGUUAGUUGCAAGGUCCAACACUGAGUCUUGAUUCAAAGCAUUGGCUCACACAGCAGCAGAGGUGACCUGGUUGCAAGCCUUAAAAGAUCUACAAGUCCUUAAUUCUUCAUGUCCUGUAAUCUGGUGUGAAAACAUUAGGGUAGCUUGCAUUACUGCAAAACUGGUUACACAUGCUCGCACCAAACAAAUGGAAGUAGAUGUCCAUUUUGUACGUGACAAAGUGCCGCAGAAGGAGUUAGACAUUCGGUAUGUACCUACAAAAGAUCGGGUAGCUGAUAUACUAACAAAGCCCUUAUCUAUAUCCCAGUUCAACAUCCUUAAGGUCGAGCUCAAUGUGAAGGUGUCCCCAUUUCACUUGAGGUGGCAUGUUUGACAGAAUGUUGCAGUUACAAAAUUAGUUUCAGAGUUAAUUGAGUUUAGCUUUAACAGUUCCACAGUUGAGGUUAGAUUUAGAAUUAGAUAAAAGAAAGAAUCAGUUAGUCUCCAACCAACUUGUAAUCUUCUCUAUAGAAAGGAAAAGAGAGAAAGAAAAAAAAGAGGUCAGUUGUAUUUCUCGCAUGCCGUGAUUUUAUCUCCUAUGUUCUCCUCUGUUUUUCAGUCUCAACAUCUUAUCUCCUAUGCAAGGUCCAACACUCGGCCAAGAUUCAAGAGGCAUGUUCAUGCACACAUUAUGCCAUAUAUUAAACUGUAAUUGAAAGCUAAAACAACAAACAUGUUGAAAUUUUAUGUGGACCGGUGCUAAACUUCAGGUUAUUGGUGCUUUAUAUAAAAGAAACUGUUUUCCUCCUUGAAGUUUUGUGUCAAAUUUACUUUUCUUCUGUUAGGAACAGAUAAGUUCAUACCUAAUUCUGAUGCAGCCAUUCUUAAAUAAAGCACUUGUCCAUUUUCAGCUAUAUCUACCAAAUCGAAUCACUAAACCAGGCAAAGCAUCCACUUCCUCAUUUAUAUGUGAAUUAGCAACGCCCUUGAGGUUCAUACUUUGAUUAAACCAUGAGCUCUACCUGUCUGGGAGUUUCAUACCUGAUAACUUUACAACUUGUCACUCAUCUAAUGAAUUAGCCGAGUGGGAAUUACACCAGUCUCCAUAGACACUUUCCUGUAUCAUAUCCCUAAGCCUGAAUUUGUGGAGUUAUCUGGGCUGAAAAGCCCUAGUUCAAAGCCACAAACAACUCCAAUGAUUACCUCACAUCUACUGUUGACGUACAUAGGAUAAGAAAAUUGUGGUUGGUUGGCCAUGACCAAUCAAUCUUUUUCCGUGGAUAUAUAUUAUUCUAGCAUUAAGUGGCAUAUAUUCCCUUCAAAUAAAUAACAAAAUCAAUCCCAAUUUGCAGCUAGAAUCUACUUAAUUAACCUCUUGUUCUUGAUGCUAAAGUGUUAAAAGGUCAUAUUUUUCUUUUUAAUUUUUUUACUUGAUUCUGACAUGUUAAAAUAGUAAUCUUAUUAACUUAUUUAAGAGAGAAACCCCUUUUUUAGCAGAUAUCAAAUAUCAACAAAAGACCAAAAACAGAGUCAAGGUUUCUCUACAAGAUGCAAGUAAUUAGUAUUUUUUAUAAGAAUAGCUUUUUUUAUAUGGUCAACUUCUAUCAUUGAACUUACAUACCAUGAAUAACUAUCAUAAUCGAUACAAAAAGAUAGCAGCAAAGACUGAUCACCAGAUAACAUCUUAGAUGAGUCUUUUGUUAGAAGCUAAGCAGUAUGAUUGCGAAAAAGUUGCCAAAUGUAGUUGAAACUUAAGCUUAUAUUGUCAUAGGUCUAACGACAACAAAACAUCAACAUGAAGCAUCUUCUAUCGAGCUUCCAACAAUGUGAUGGUGGGUUGAAUACCAGAGAAAGAAUUUGCAUCCAUCAUAUUCCUAUCAGUGAAGAAACAAGGCUCUUUGGGCCGAGGUAGUGCCCCCUCACUACCCAACAUCAAAAUCACAGAGUGCAUGCUUGGUCGAUCAUCCGGGAAACGUUGUAUGCAUAAUAGGCCCACGUUGAUUGAACGUAGCACUUCAAAUAGAUUGCAGGUGUUCACUUUUGAUGUAUCAAUAAAUUCUAAAGACCCACCUUCUAUAUAGAGUGUCCAUGCCUAGAGAAUUGAAAAGAGGAUCAGCACUGCCUUUAUAUAGUGAAAUAAGGAAAUAAGAAAAUAUUACCCAAUACUUACAUGCCCAAGAAGAUUAAGGUCAUGGCCUGGGUGGCUAAAUCCUCUGUUUCUCUUCCCACUUACAAUCUUUAGCAACAAAACACCAAAGCUAAAAACAUCGGAUUUUGUGGAAUACAAUCCUUCACUUGCAUACUCUGGAGACAUAUAACCUCUGUAGGAAACCGUUGAAGAAAGGGUUAAAUUCACAAGCAAUGGAGAUAAAGACUUUAUACAUAUCACUAAAUAUACUUACAAUGUUCCAGCCACUCUUGUUGUGUUUGCUUCAAUUUCAUUUCCUCCAAAACUUCUUGCUAUUCCGAAGUCUGAAAUUUUGGGGCUCAUUUCAUUAUCUAGUAAAAUGUUUUCUGCUUUGAGAUCUCUAUGGAUUAUCCUGAGUCUAGAAUCUUGAUGAAGAUAAAGAAGGCCUCGAGCAAUCCCAUUGAUAAUGAGGAAGCGCUUAGGCCAAUCUAGUACCCUGCUUCGCAUGUGAUCUAUCCAUUUUUUUUAUCAUUCAAGUUAACCCAUUCUACUACUUGGAUUAUUGAAAAUAAAUGGAAAACAUUUCAAGAAACAAAUGAUUACAAAUUUCAAGAGAGUUGUUCAAAGCAAACAUUGUCAAAGAUUGAAAAACAUUGUCAAAGAGACACAAAUAGAUAAUGGAUCUUAAUGGUAGGGUUCCAAACCCCUAACAUUUUUAAAAAAUGUUAGAGAAAAUAGAAAUAUGAAAAAUUUUCUAAAUAAAUGCAUCUAUGCUUUAUCUUGUCCUUGAGGAUUUUUCUUUGAAAUUUGUCAAAUCCAUGGUAAAUAAAGAAUUUCCCUAGCAUGUAUAGGAGAAGAGAGAGAAAAGAGAAGCUACUCAAUUAGACAAAGAAACUAUAUAGUGGUUUUAGAGAGCCGAACCAAAAAUGUACAAGUCCAAGCUUUUGUUGGGCAUGUAUUCAUAAAUCAACAAUCUUUCUCUGCCAUGAAUGCAACAUCCAAGAAGCUUUACAAGAUUUCGGUGCUGAAGUUUUGUAAUGGAUUCAACUUCAUUUUUGAACUCUUUUAAUCCUUGUCUAGAAGUUUUUGACAUCAUCUUUACUGCUAUUUCUUGUCCUUCUUGCAAUAUUCCCUGAAAACAUCAUAUUCUUUUUAUUCUGAAAGCUUUUCAAAUUAAAAGAAACUUGUCCAUAUUCAAUAUGAAGAGUCCUAAAGAAACCAGAGACACAAAAAUGUUGGCACAUACACCGACUUCAAAACUUUAAGGAGUAUAGUGGCCUUGAUACAUGUUGUUUCAUUUAGAUACUAUGAAGAUUGGGGACAUCAACUACUUCUCAAGAUGCUUAGCUAUGUAUCUAUAAUGUUUUAUUAACUUGUAACUUGUCUUAUCCAAAAGGCAAAGUAUAACCCUACCUUAUAGACAGGUUCAAAACCACCCUCUCCAAGUUUAUUGUCUCUAGAAAAGUUAUUGGUGGCAUUCAAUAAUGUAUCCAAGUCAAAUAAUGGUAAAUCUAGAUGCUCUUGGCCUUUAUUGUUUUCACCUUCUUUUGAUUUAUGAUCCAUGUAUUCUGCAGAAUGGAGAAUAAAAUGAAGGAUUAAAGAAUUCAUCAACCUGGAAUUUAGCCCAUUUCCAAGCCUAGAUCAUUUCAUUGUUUCUAAAAUCAAGCCAGGUCAAUCUAUUGCUCCCCUUUUUUAUUUAUUAUUACAUAAUCAAACAACGUGUAGAAGUACUUUUGACUAAUACAUAUGGUGAUACAAGCACUAUGAUUUGUUACUUACCUUUUUUCUUUAGCUGCUUCUUCCUCUUCUUGAGCACAUACAAGAUCAGGACUGGACUUAAAAAAACUAUUCCUGUAAUUGAUAUAGAGAUGACAAUGACCUGCUUUUUCUUCUUCUUGGAGCUACUAUUUAUGCUUGAAGAAGCUUCUUGACACAAAAGGAAAGAAAUUAAGAAGGAGAGCUAAGAAAUAAAUUAGAAAAACUAUAAAUUCCUAUGAACAGUAACUGUUGAUCUAAAAUAUAUUUGUAGUUUACAGCCAUGAAGGUAGAAGUUCAAGGAACUGCAAUUGCCAUAGGAUUUGAUAGCACAAAUCAGUUGGUGUAUUGGUGUGUUAUAGCAUCUAUCUUAAUACAAUUGAAAUCUAAAAGAAAAAUAUUCCAACUUUUGAGUAGACCUCUACUUUGCACUCUAGUCUUUAGAAAAUACGUAUACUAUUCCAUGAAAUAAUGUGCUUGGCAUUUGGUAUCAGAUUUUUCACAUCAGCAAUAAUUGAGAUGGAGGUAAAUUAAGAUUUAAGUUGCAAAAUCAUGGGAUUGAACUAGAGGCACAUAUGCAAGGUGAACAACUGAUUCAAAACUUUUGAGUAAAUAUACCAUGAAAUUUGUAUGAGAUUUAAGUUUCCCAAGUAUGAAAAAGAAAUGUUUAUACCUGAUUCUGAUGCAGCCAUCCUUGCAUAAAACUCUUGCCCAUUUUGAGUGAAGUCUCUGAUGUCAAUCAAGUCAUCAAACCAGAGCAAGCAUCCACUUCCUCCUCCUCUGAUAUCUGAAUUUGCAUAAGCAGUGCAAGAGCAGUUCCUCAAGCACAAGGAAGCACAUUCCUUAAGGUUCAUGCUUUCAUCAAACCAGGAGUUCCGCGUGUCUGGCAGUUUCACACCAGAGUACUUUACAAAUCCAUCACCCUUUUGACAAUCCAGCGGAGUACUUCGAACGCAUCCCUUUGACCAGUCUGCCAUGUCCCAAUUGCUUUGGAACUUUGGCCUAAAUCCCUUCAUACACUCACAUUUUGGAGAUUCAUCAAUCUUACAGAUUCCAUAUACUCCACAUAUUGCAUAAUUGUCACAGUCAUCCUUCUGUGUGGUUGAGUAAAGAGUCCAUUCAUUUUUUUGAUCAGUCCAUGUGAAUCUUCGUGAAUAACCAUCAGGAGUUAACACAAGCCUCAAAAUAACAGAGCUGCUAACUAGAGAAUAAAUAAAAUAUAUCUCCUUUUCAUUAGAAACAAAAUUAAAUGUAUAAACUGAGUUGUUUGUUAAUUGAGGUAUUCCACUAUAUCGAACACCAUUCCAUGGUCCUGCACGAAACUCUACAGCUAAACCAUUCCUCAAUAAUUGUUGUGGAAAUCCACUUAGAUCAAUCCCAUAAGUAAAAUUACCUUUAGAAGGGUCAUCAGCACUCGUCCAUGAUGACAGGUACCGAUCCAUGCCCAUUACUCUGUUCCUUCCAAACUUCAUGCCUGGUAGAAGAGUAUCGCAUGGAUAAUCAAAACUCUGCCAUAGGAAGUUUUCUGGGUCACUAUCAUAGCCAUUUCUCAUAACAAGAUUUCCAGAUUCCAAAAGCUGAGCGUUUGGAUCCUGCGCAGAACGUGAUGAAUUAGAAUUCCAAAGAAUUCCAUUAGUACCGCUGACCACAACAAGAAUUCCCUGCUGAGUGACCUUUAAAACACCUGAUGAAUCAGUUAGUGGACUUUCUCUAUUGGCAACCCAUACCACCGUCUGAGGAGCCACUUUCUUGUACCAUAUCCCCAAGUAUCGAUUCUUGGAAUCACCUGGACUGAAGAAACCCAAUUGAAAGGUCCCACCCGCUGAAUUGAUGGUCUCGCCAUCUCUAAUGUGUUGAUUUACAUUUAUGGUGUCUACUGUAGUGGAGAUUCUUAAGAGGGAGAAUACAUAGUAUUAAAAUUGAUUAAUGUGAAAACUUGCCUUGUUGAACAAAGAAAUAUGCAGAGUUUGUUAGGUUGUUACAAGUUAGUGGAAUUUUUUUAUUUUGUUAUUUUUCAUUUUCUGGAUGAGCUGGAAUCUUCUCGAUUGUUCCAAGCCUUCCUAUAUAUGUUGCUACUGUACAAUCAGUGAAGAGGGGAAUCAAUGAAUUAGUUUUAUUUCUCUCUCAGGCCUUUGUUUGCCUUUCUUGCCAUUUACCUUUUGUUUUUCUAUUAUGGUAUCAGAGCGUAUUCCUUCCGUUUUUCCUUCCUUCUGAGCAUGGCUAAGGGCAAACCUCCUCAGCAUCCUUUUCAGUCUCCCAUGGAAGAUCAUAGUAGUCCCUAUUUUCUUCACAAUGGUGAUCAUCCAAGUCUCUCUCUGGUUUCUCUUUCACUUGCUGGAUUUGGUUCAAACUAUCAUUCUUGGCGCCGAUCAAUGGUUAUAGCUUUAAAUGCUAAGAACAAACUUGGGUUUAUCGAUGGAACCAUCUCACGUCCUGCUGCAACAGAUCUCCUUGCUGGUCCUUGGUCUCGCUGCAACAACAUGGUCAUAUCUUGGCUCUCUAACUCGGUUUGCAAAGAAAUUGCAGAGAGCAUCCUCUAUCAUGAAACAACCAUCGAAAUAUGGAAUGAUCUAUACGAACGAUUUCAUUAGGGCAGUGGUCCUCAAAUUUUUGAACUCAAGCAAAAAAUUAUUGCUCACACUCAGGGAUCGGCUGAUGUCAAUACCUACUAUACUCGACUGAAAUCCUUGUGGGAUGAGCUUCAAGAAUUCAAGGCGAUACUAGUUUGCAAUUGCGGUGGCAUGCGUGUUUAUAUGGAGGAUCAACAACGAGAAUCUGUGAUGCAAUUUCUGCUGGGUUUGAACGAAUCCUUCGCUCCGAUUUGAGCUCAAAUCCUGUUGAUGGAACCGACUCCUCCGCUGAACAAAGUUUUCUCCCUGGUUGUUCAAGAAGAACGACAACGAUCUCUUACCACCUCCAACUCUCCGGCAUUCACUGCUCCUGUUUCCUCCAGAUUUCAAGCGGCAUCUAGAGCUUUUUCUCCUACUAAUGCCUCUCGAUCAAGAAAGGAUCGCCCACUCUGUACCCAUUGCAACAUCUUGGGUCACACAGUUGAUCGGUGCUACAAAAUACAUGGGUAUCCACCUGGAUUCAGAAAUAGGCCCAACUUCAAGCCCAAUGGUUCUCGCCCAAAUCAAAUGCUACCCAAUAGUCUUCACACGAAUCAGUUGACUCUCACAGAUGGCUCCACCGCCUCUGCAUCUCCACCACCUCUCACUCAUGACCAACACAAUCAGUUAUUAGCUCUCUUAAGUUUGCACAGCUCGAGUGGCUCCUCUGCCUCAUUCGGUGACAGCAACCCUCUUCAGCAAUCCAUUUCCAACUUCACUGGUAUCCUUUCUCUUUCUCCUUCAUCAUCCACUCUCAACCCUAGCAUUUGGAUUUUAGAUUCAAGGGCAACCCACCAUGUUUGCACUAAUUCCUCCAUGUUUCACUCUAUUCAUUCAUUUUCUUCCAACACUGUCACUUUACCCACUGGUAUAAAAAUAUCAAUCACCGGAAUAGGCACCAUUCAUCUGUCACCUCAUCUCGUGCUUGAACAUGUUCUCUACAUUCCAACAUUAAAAUUUAAUCUUAUCUCCAUUAGUGCCUUAACUCAAACCAAUUGUUUUUCCUUUGAUUUUACUGCUCGUUUUUGCUUCAUUCAAGACCACUCACAGGGGAAGCUGAUUGGGAUGGGUAGACGUCAAGGCAACAUUUACCUCUUAGAUAGCUCAGUCUUUCGUUCUAUUUCCUCUGUAUUCGUUGUUGAUAACAACACUUCUGCUCAUGUAAACAAAUUGUGGCAUUUCAGAUUAGGCCACCCAUCCAAUGUCAAACUCAGUGUAUUGAAACCUCAUUUACAGUUGCAAAGUAAUGGCAAUACCAAUCUUUCUUGUUCAAUUUGCCCUCUGGCAAAACAAAAACGUUUGCCAUUUGAUUGUCAUAAUAAUUUAUCUCCUUCUCCAUUUGAUCUCAUACACUGUGAUAUUUGGGGUCCAUUUCAUAUUCCCACACAUGAUGAAUUUCGUUAUUUUUUGACAAUCGUUGAUGAUUGUACAAAGAAUACAUGGGUUCAUCUUCUACGUGCUAAAUCUGAUGUCAAGACCAUUUUUCCAUAAUUUUUCUCCAUGGUUAAAACCCAGUUUGGUCUCACCAUUAAAGCAGUUCGCAGUGACAAUGCCCCUGAAUUAAACCUCUCCAAUCUCUUUACCCAACUUGGUGUGCUCCAUUUUUUCUCUUGUGUUGAAACUCCUCAACAAAACUCGGUUGUUGAGCGUAAACACCAACACAUCCUAAACGUAGCUCGGGCCUUAUAUUUCCAAUCCAACAUACCUAUAGGAUAUUGGGGGGAUUGUGUGCUUACUUCGGUUUACCUUAUAAAUCGAAUUCCAUCACCAUUACUGAACAACAAAACUCCUUUUGAACUACAUCAUAAAUCACCAUCUUACUCCCAUCUCAAAUCUUUCAGAUGUCUUUGUUAUAGUUCAACUCUUCCUCGAGCCUUACCUUGUGUCUUUUUAGGAUAUCCUUUUGGUUACAAAGGUUACAAAAUUCUAGACUUAGAGACCAACCAAAUAUCUGUCUCCCGAAAUGUUAUCUUCCAAGAAUCUGUGUUUCCUUUCAAGUUAUCUCAGAAUAAUAACUCUGUUGCUUCAGAUUUCUUUUCUGAAAAGGUGCUGCCUAUUGUACCAGUUUCUACCCCUUCCCCUUCUUUUAAUAAUUCGACUUCACAUCCUAACAGCCCUGACUCUUCCUCCAAUGACACUUCACCUCAUACCACCUCCCACACAACCACCAGAUCUUCUAGAGUAUCCCAACCACCCAAAUAUCUCUCUGAUUAUCACUGUUAUUUAGCUUCUUCUACUCGUCAUUUCGAUAUAUCCAACUCCACUCCUUACCCCUUAUUCGAUGUCAUCUCCUACAAUAAACUUUCCCCUUCUUUUCGUGCAUUUUCUAUUUCCAUUUCCACCAUCAUAGAACCCAAAACAACAUAUGCUGAGGCAGUCGUUGUACCCGAGUGGCAGCAUGCUAUGUGAGCUGAACUGCAAGCUUUAGAGUCCAAUAAUACCUGGUCUUUGUGCACUCUACCCCCUGGAAAAACAACAGUUGGUUGCAAAUGGCUUUAUCGUGUUAAAUAUCAUGCUAAUGGUUUUAUUGAAAGGUACAAAGCACGACUUGUUGCCAAAGGGUUCACACAGCAAGAAGGUGUUGAUUUUUUUUAUACUUUUUCACCUAUUGCCAAGAUGGUUACUGUCAAGGUAUUACUCUCUCUUGCUUCUAUUUACAAUUGGCAUUUGACUCACCUUGAUGUCAAUAAUGCAUUUUUGCACGGUGAUCUAUCUGAAGAAGUUUUCAUGCAUCUUCCUCCUGGUUAUCACCGUGAGGGGGAGCCUUUAUUACCUUCCAACACAAUUUGUAAGUUACACAAAUCCAUCUAUGGCUUGAGACAAGCAUUUAGGCAGUGGUUUGAAAAAUUCUCUAGUGUUCUAAUCUCUAAAGGCUUUCAGCAAUCUCAUUCAGAUUAUUCUCUAUUUAUCAAGACAGCAGGAAAUGAUUUUAUUGCUUUGUUAGUGUAUGUUGAUGACAUAAUAGUUGCUAGUAACAACAAGAUUGCUGCUGAUAAUUUGAAGAAUUCUCUCAACAAAAGCUUUAAAUGAAAGGAUCUAGGAAAUCUCAAGUAUUUUCUUGGACUUGAAGUAGCUAAAUCAGCUAAAGGGAUCCUGGUAAACCAGAGAAAAUAUGCUCUGGAACUCCUAUCUGAAACAGGCUACUUAGGUUGCAAACGUGCCAAAACUCCAACGCAACCAAAUAUGCAACUUUCUCAAGAUGAUGGAGAGCUGCUAACAGAUCCCAGCAUGUAAAGAAGGCUCAUAGGGAAGCUUAUAUACCUUACUAUCACCAGGCCAGACCUAACUUACUCGGUGAACAAGUUGAGCCAAUUCCUAAGUCAACCGAGGAGACCACAUUUGCAAGUAGUCUACAGGAUUCUUCAAUAUAUCAAAGGAUCACCAGGCAAAGGUAUUUUCUUCUCAACUUCCUCAUCUCUUCAAUUAAAGGCCUUCUCAGAUUCUGAUUAGGUAGCAUGCCCAGAUUCUAGAAAAUCAAUCACUGGAUUUUGUAUAUUUCUUGGAGAUUCUUUGAUAUCAUGGAAAUCAAAAAAGCAAAGGACAGUUUCAAGAUCCUCAGCUGAAGCAGAGUAUCGAGCAAUGGCUCAUGUGACUUGUGAGCUAACAUGGUUGAUUGCCUUACUCAAGGACUUAGGAGUUUCACACACACAACCUGCUUUGUUGUACUGUGACAACCAAGCUGCUCUACACAUUGUUGCAAACCCGGUCUUCCAUGAGCGUACUAAACACAUAGAGAUAGAUUGUCAUAUUGUAAGAGAGAAGAUUCAAACAGGUAUGCUCAAAACUCUACAUGUUGCUUCACAACAUCAAUUGGCUGAUAUACUUACCAAUCCUCUCUUUCCUGAUCAAUUCAAUUCUCUCAUAGACAAGAUGGGAAUGUAUAACAUAUACAUUCCAUCUUGAGGGGGAGUAUUAAAAUUGAUUACUGUGAAAACUUGCCUUCCUUGUUGAACAAGAAAUAUGCAAAGUUUGUUAGGUUGUUACAAGUUAGUGGAAUUUUUUUAUUUUGUUAUUUUUCAUUUUCUGGAUGAGCUAGACUCUUCUCGAUUGUUCCAAGCCUUCCUAUAUAUGUUGCUACUGUACAAUCAGUGAAGAAGGGAAUCAAUGAAUUAGUUUUAUUUCUCUCUCAGGCCUUUGUUUGCCUUUCUUGCCAUUUACCUUUUGUUUUUCUAUUACAUAGGAGAAGAUGAACACAACUGUUGCAAGAGCAUCCAUAGUUGUUCCCAGAUAAAAAAAUGCCCAAGAUUUUAGGUGCUUUUCAAGUCCCCUUAUAUUUUCCCUCGCCCCCUAGGAUAUGGCAUUGUGUUUGACUUGUAUGACUUGGAGAAGAACAUCACCUCCAUUGUUCAUCAUUGGAGGUCCUUCAUCCAAAUUAGAUUUUUCUAUACCUCUUAAAAUUGAGUAGCUAUUAAUUUAUCCCUUACAAUAGUUUAUGAAUGAUCUCAUCUUUUCUUUAGAAGAAUUACAAGUUGAAGUAAAGAAGACCAAGAACAGAGUGUUGGAAUUUUGACAAGUAUACAAUAGUUUAAAAAAGAAUGAUUCAUAAACUAACAUAGUGGAAAAAAUAUUUUUAAAUCUACCGUUUUUGCUAAGUGGGAAAAAGAAAUUAAAUUUAAAGUAAAAAUAGUCUCUUAUGGGCAAAAAUGUCUUUUGAAGAGAUGAAUUUUAAAAAUUCUUUAAAAAACAAAAUUUAUAGGCUAAGAUCGUCUCUCGAAUAAAAGAUUUCUUUUUAUUAUUUUUUUAGAAAAGUUCUAGACAAAAAUCCUUUAUGCAAAAAAUGUGUUUUGAGGAGAUGAGUUUUAAAAAUUCUUUAAAAAACAAAAUUUGUAGGCUAAAUUGGUCUCUUGAAUAAAAGAUUUCUUUUUAUUAUUAUUUUUUUAAAAAGUCUAAAAUUGUCUAUUGAAGACACGAUUUCAUAAAUAAUAAAAAAAUAAUAAAAAAACAAAAGAAAAAGAAAGAAAUAAAAGGAGUUCUUAUUUUUAAUAAUAUUUUAAUUAAUAAUAUAUUUUAAUAAUAAAAUUAAUAUAAAUAUAUGCAUUGUAAUAUUAAUUAAUUUAAGUUUAUUAUAUUUGAUAUAUUAUUUAUAAUUAUAAUAUUUAUAAAAGUAUAAAUUAUAUUUAGCAUCUACUAUUAAAAAAAUACUAUUUUAUGUUGAGUUAAAUAUCGAUAACAAAAAUAUUUUGAUCUUUAUCACCAAUUUUAUUUCUAAAUUAAUUUAAUGAAUUGUAACUAUAAAUAGAAAUUAGUUUUAUUUUAUUUUAUUUUUUAUUUAUAAUAUAAAUAAUACAUAUUUUAAAUUUUGAAACUUUAUCUACUACUUUCUUGUUCCUUUUAAAUUUCAUAUUAAAACAAAUCUAUUAUCAAUUUUAUUUUAUUUGAGUUUAUAAAAAAUAAUUUUAUUACCUAUUUAUUUUUUUAGUUUAUUAAAUAUAUAUAUAUAUAUAUAUAUAUAUAUAUAUUUACAAAAUGAAUAAUUUUUUAUUUUUAAAUUAAUUUUAUUAGAUAAAAUUUAAAAAUAAAAAUAUUAUUCCUUAAUUUAAAAUUUAACGGUAAAAAAAUAGAGAAAAAUAAAUUAUUUUUAAAUUGAUUAAUACUCAAAAAAUUAUUUGUUUCAUUUUAAAUUGAUUAAUAUUCAAAAAAUUAUAUCUCUUAAAGUUGACAUUUUUAUUCAAAAUUAAUUUGUUGAAUAAUAAAUUGGUUUAUUUUUCUAUAUUUUAUUUCUUUUACUAUUAAAUUUUAAAUUUAAAAAAAAUUAUUUUAAAGCUUAUCUAAUAAAAUUAAUUUCAAAAUUAAAACGAAAAAAAAAAAUCAUUCAUUUUGUAAAAAAUAAAAAAUAAAAAUUACUAAACUAAAAAAGGAAAUUUAUAAUAAAUUUAUUAUUUUAUAAACUCAAUUUUCACCUCAAAUUAAUAAUAGUUUUUUUUUUCUUAAUUUGAAAGUGAAACAAACAAAAAGUAAUAGAUAAUAUCUAAAAAUUAAAAUAUUUAUUAUUUAUCUUAUAAAUAAAAAAUAAUAUAAAACUAAAUUAGUUUCUAGUUAGAGUUAUAAUUAAUAAAAUUAAUUUAAUGAUAAAAAUUGGAGAUAAAUAUAAAAAUAUUUUUUAAAUCAAUAUCUAAAUUAAUAUAAAAUAGCGUUUUUUAAACAUAAAAUGCUAAACAUAAUUUAUACUUAUAUAUAUAUAUAUAUAUUAGUAUUGAUAAAUAAUAUAUCCCAAUAAUUACAAUUAUUUUUAUAUAUUAAAUUUAAUAGAUAAAAUUAAUUAAUUCUAUAAUACAUAUAUUUAUAAUAAUUAUAUUAUUAUACAAAUGUUAUGUGUUUUAUUAUUUUUAAUGAUAUUUUUAAUUAAUAAUACAAUGCUACAUCAUUUAAAAAUAUGAGGUGAUGACCAAAAUAAUUUUUUAAUUAAUAUAAAAUUAUAAAUAUAACUUAUACUUUUAUAAAUAUUAUAAUUAUAAUAAUAUAUCAAUAAUAAUAAACAUAAAAUCAAUUAAUUUUAUAAUACAUAUAUUUAUAAUAAUUUUAUUAUUUAAAAAUAUUAUUAGUUAAAAUAUUAUUAAAAAUAAUAAAACAUGGAAAAAAAUUUAAUUUUUUGAAAUCAUUUGGAGAAGAUUUCUUCCCUUAAUUUUUUUUUUUUUUAAGAAAUCGUCUCCUGAUUUUCUAUUUUUUUAUUUCCUAUAUCCAAUAAUUUUUUUAAAAAAUAAAAAAUAAAUAAAAAUCAUCUUUUGAAGAGACUAUUUUAGUUUGAAUUUUUUGUAAAAUUUUUAAAAAAAUUUGAAAAUACUAUUUUUACUUAGAACUUAAAAAUAAUAAUAAUAAUAAGAAAUCGUGUCUAGAGACAAUUUUAGCUUAUAUAUAUUUUGAAAGAAUUUUUAGAAAUUAUCCCUUCAAGAAUUGAUUUUUGCAUAUUACAUAUAUAUAUAAAGAAAAUAAAUAUCUUUUGAAGAAAUGAUUUUUACUUCAAUUCCAAUCUCUCUUUCCUAAUUGAUAAAAACUACCAGUAUUUUUUUCAGAGUAGCUUUCAUGAGUUGUUAGGAUGUGCUAGGAAGACUUUUGAACUGACUAACUGGCCCAAAAGACACGCCUGCUGGCUAUUGUUAUUUGGAUUCUCUAAUUUUUUUUUUCCAACUUUGGAACUAUCCUCACGCGACUUGUUACCAGCUUUGGACACAAAGUCAUAUGGGCGUAUAGACUCGUGGCCACCUUAGAUAUUGAAAUCAAGCUUUGAGCAAAGUCAUCACAGUCGGUCAGAACUGCAAGGAAGUUGGUUAUGCUCCGGUAUAAAAUCAAAAAGUGGUAUAAAAAUCGAAAAGGCCAACAGAGGCCGUUUGAUUCACUCCAUCACCCUCCUCUUAGUUUGAGUGUCACGAUUCAAGUCCCCAUAAUUGGGAUCAUUUACCAUCCAAUCAAGUCAAGAGUGAAUUCACGGAGGACUACUUUGUUCUCACACGAGUACCAAGACUCCUAUAUAACCUUCAAUGACAUCUUAUAGUGAUUUGACAAGGGCAUCUCUAUCUCUGAGCGAAGUAGCUAACACCCAUCCUUAAAUCUCUUAAGAGGCAAUGGACUAUAAGGAAAGAAUUACCUUUUAUAAAAAUCCUCUCAAUCGUCCAAUAGCUCAUACAUUGAUAUAUAGAAACAGCCAUCUCAACCGAUCAACGGCUCACACACUGAUCAUAAUUAGAACAUCACAUAAUCACCUCCUUUGAUUACGACUAUAAAUUAUUCCACAAAUGUAGCAGAAGGGCUCUUGUAGCAACUCUCUUUCCUUGCCAAAGUUAAUAGGACAUGUCAUCAGUUACAACUUACAGCCACUGGUAGGAUUGAAAAUAAAAAUGCAUACAGCCGAUAUUCAGGUGGUCCAGUUUCUGAUUAGCACCAAAUACUGAGUAACUUUCACAACUUGUCAGGAUGUGCUAGGAAGACUUUUGGACUGACCAACCGGCCCAAAUGACACGCCUGCGGGCUACUGUGAUUUGGAUUCUCAUUACUUUUUCCUUUUUUUUUUCUUUCUUUUUUUUUUUUUUUUUCUUUUUUUCUCAAACUUCUGAAUUCUCUCCACGUGACUCAAAUUUAUAUGGGUGUAUAGACGUGUUUACACCUUAGAUAAUGAAAUCAAGCUUUGAGAAAAGUCACCAAAGUCAGCCGGACCUGCAUGGAAGUUGGUUAUGCUCUCCGGGUAUAAAAAUCAAAAAGGGGAUCUCCUUGAGCUUCAAUGACUUCUUGUAAUCCCUUACGGGCUAUGGAUAUAAGGAAAGAAUCAUGUCAUAAAGGGAAGAAUACUCUCAGUCAACAAAUAGCUCAUACAUUGCGAUGAGGGAAGAAUGAUCUCAAUCAAUUAACUACUCACACACUGAUCAUAAUUAGAGCAUUACAGAGCCUUUUCAGUAAACGACUUGGGAGCUUUGCAUUAUUUUCUUGGAAUUGAAGUGUUUCUCACUCAGUCCAAAUACGUACUUGACUUGUUAAAACCAAGUAAUACGGAACAAGCCAAAAGUUGCCCUACACUAGCAAUUAUGUGCCUACAGCUAUUUAGUUCUAGUGGACCUAAGUUGAACAAUGAGAAGUCGUAUCAGAACACUGUAAGGGCAUUACAAUAUCUCACAAAUACUCAAGUAGAAAUAUCUUACAUUGUAAUUAAAUUAAGUUUUUACAUUGUCCCACCGAUAUGUAUCGGAGAGGUUGUAAAUGAGUUUUGACAUACUUACAUGGGAGUAUUGAUCGUGGUCUGCACAAUCAAUCAGCUUCUGGAUUUAGUCUCACUAGCUUCUCAGAUGCUAAUUGGGCCAGUUGUGUCGAUGAACGAAGGUCCACCAAUGGCUUCUAUGUUUUUCUUGGUCCUAACAUUGUCUCAUGGAGUUCACGUAAGAAAAAGGUUGUUGCAAGGUCCAACACUGAGUUGGGAUACAAAGCAUUGGCUCAUGCGGCAAUAGAGCUAGGUGACCUGGCUAAAAGAGCUACCAAUCUAGUGUGAUAAGAUUGGGGUAGCUUGCAUUGCUGCAAACCUAGUUGGACAUGCUCGCACCAAACACAUUGGAGCAGAUGUCCAUUCUGUAUGUGACAAAGUGCUGCAGAAAGAGUGUAUGCACCUACAAAAGAUCAGGUAGCAGGUAUACUAACAAAGCCCUUGUCUGUAUCCCGGUUCAUCGUCCUUAAGGUUGAGUUCAAUGUGAAGGCGUCCCCGUUUCGCUUGAGAUGGCGUUCUGGACAGAAUGCUCCAGAACAAAUUAGUUUCAGAGUUAGUUAAGGCUAGCUUUAAAAAUUUCAUACUUAGUUGAGGUUAGUUUUAGAAUUAGAUGAAAAACAGAAUUAGUUAGGGUCUCCGACCAAUUUGUAAUCUUCUCUAUAUAAAGGAAAAGAGAGAAAGAAGAAACAGAGGUCAGUUGUGUUUCUCUCAUGCUGUGAUUAUAUCUCUAUGUUCUGCUCUGUUUUGCACUCUCAACAUCUUAUCUCCUGUGAUGAACAUCCUAACAGGCCCAGAUUCAAGAGCCAUGUUCAUGCAUGCAUUAUAUAAUAUAUUAAAUUGUAAUUGAAAGCUAAAACAACAUGUUGAAGUUUUAUGUGGAACAGUGCUAAACUUCAGAUAAUAGGUGCUUUUAUAUAAAAGAAACUGUUUUCCUCCUUGAAGUUUUGUGUCAAAUUUACUUUUCUUAUGUAAGGAACGAACAGAUAAGUUCAUACCUAAUUCUGAUGCAGCCAUUCUUAAAUAAAGCUCUUGUCCAAUUUCAGCUAUAUCUAUCAAAUCAAAUCACUAAACCAGGCAAAGCAUCCACUUCCUUGUUUAUAUCUGAAUUUGCAUAAGCAGUAUAAGAGCAGACGCUUGAGCCCCACCCAAUGCCCUUGAGGUGAAUCUCGUACCAGAUUACUUUACAACCUGUCACUCAUCUGAUAAUCUAGUGGAGUGGUCCUUUAAUUCCAUGCGCUCAAAAUUUAGAAGGCCUCAUGAUAACUGAGUUAUUAGAAAGUUCAUAUGUAGACGCAUCUUCUUUUCAUUAAAAACAGAAGCAUAUGCACAAACUGGGUUUGGUGUUAAUUGAGGAAACCCAAUAAAUUGAACAUCAUUCCAAUGUCAGAGCAAAAUGUCAUAGCUGAGCGAUUCCUUAGAAUUAGUUGUGGAAAGCCAUUAGGAUCGAGCCAAUAUAUGAAAUCACCUUUAAUAGGAACCACCGUGCUCUUCCAUGAGGAUAGGAACCAAUCCGGACCUGUCACUGUGUUUCUUCCAAAUUUCAUGCCUUGUAGAAGAGUAUUGCAGGGAUAAUCAAAACUCUGCCAAAGAAGUUCUCUGGAUCACUAUCAUCUCCAAUUUUCAUGACAAGAUUUUCAAAUUCCAAAAGCUCAAUAUGUGGACCUUCUUCAUGAAUGGAUUGCACUUGUGAAUGGAUAGAGUUCCCUGGUCCAUGACCUUUAAAAUUCCCGUUGAAUUAGCUGAUUGGGAACUAUACCACUCUCCAUAGACACUUCCCUGUAUUAAAUCCCUAAAGUCUGAAUUUGUGGAAAUACCUGGGCUGAAAAACCCCAGUUUAAGGCUGCCAACAGCUCCAGUGAUUACCUCACUAUCAAUAAGGAGUUGAUUUACUGUUGACUUACAUAGAACAAGACAAUUUUGGAUGGUUGGGCAUGAUCAAUCAAUCAGUUUUCCUGGAUGUAUAUUCUAGCACUAAGUGGCAUAUAUUCCCUUCAAUUAAAUAACAAAAUCAAUCCCAAUUUACAGCUAGAAUCUAUGUAAAUCUCACAUGUCAGCACCACAGAAUAAUCAGGCACAUUAGUUAUUGCUUUUGGUUUCACUGAUUUCUGUGAACUGUUUAUAUUAAUAACCUCUUGUUCUUGAUGCUGAAAUGUUAGAAGGUCAUAUUUUUCUUUUUUCUUUUUUCUUUUUUUGCAUUACUUGAUUCUCACAUAUUAAAAUAGAAAUCUCAUUAAAUCAUUCAAGAGAGAAACCAAAACCCUUUUUAGAAGAAAUGAAAGAUCAGCAAAAGAUCAAAAACAGAGUCAAGGUUUCCCCUACAAUCUGCAAGUAAUUAGUAUUUUUGAAAAGAAUAGCUUCCAUUAUUUGGUCAACUUCUAUUAUUGAACUUAUAUACUAUGAGUAACUAUCAUUAUCCAUACAAAAAGUAGCAGCAAAGACUAAUCACCUGACAGCAUCUUAUAUGAGUCUUUUGUUGGAAGCUAAGCAGUGUGGUUGAGAAAAGUUGCCUAAAGUAGUUGAAGUCAUAGGUCUAAAGACAACAAAACAUCAACAUGAAGCAUCUUCUAUCAAGCUUCCAACAGUGUGAUGGUGGAUUGAGUACCAGAGGAACAAUUUCCUUCCAUCAUAUUCAUAUCGGUGAAGAAAUAAGGCUCUUUGGGCUGAGGUAGUGCACCCUCACUACCCAACAUCAGAACCACAGAAUGCAUGCUUGGUCGAUCCUCUGGGAAACGUUGCACACAUAAUAGACCCAAAUUGAUUGAGCAUAGCACUUCAGAUAGAUUGCAGGUGUUCCCCAUUGAUGCAUCAAUAAAUUCUGAAGACCUAUCUUCCAUAAAGAAUGUCCAUGCCUAGACAGUUUAAAAGAGGAUCAACACUACUUUUAUAUAUUGAAAUAAGGAAAUAUUACCUAAUACUUACAUGCCCAAGAAGACUAAGGUCAUGAUACGGGUGGUUAAAUCCUUUGUUUCUCUUCCCACUUACAAUCUCUAAAACCAAAACACCAAAGCUAAAAACAUCGGAUUUUGUGGAAUACAAUCCUUCCCUUGCAUACUCUGGAGACAUAUAACCUCUACAGGUAACAAUAAAAGAAGGGGUUAAAUUCACAAGCAAUGGAGAUAAAGACUUUAUACAUAUCACUAAAUAUACUUACAAUGUUCUAGCCACUCUUGUUGUGUUUGUUUCAAUUUCAUUUCCUCCAAAACUUCCUGUUAUUCCGAAGUCUGAAAUUUUGGGUAUCAUUUCAUUAUCUAGUAAAAUGUUUUCUGCUUUGAGAUCUCUAUGGAUUAUCCGAAGUCUGGAAUCCCGGUGAAGAUAAAGAAGGCCUUGAGCAAUCCCAUUGAUAAUGAGGAAGCGCUUAGGCCAAUCUAGCACCCUUCUUCGCAUUUGAUCUGUCCAUUUUUUUUUAUCAUUCAAGUUAACCAAUUCUAUUAAAUGGAUUAUUUGAAUAUAAAUGAAAAAUAUUUCAAGAAACAAAUCAUUUCAAAUUCCAUGAGAGUUGUUUAGAGCAAUGACAUAUGAAAACAAAAGUAACUAUAAUUGAAGCUCAUUCUUAGUGAUUAAAGAACAUUGUCAAGGAGACACAAAUAGAUAGUGGAUCUUAAUGGUAGGGUUCAAAACCCCUAACUUUUUAUAUAAGAGCCAAAAUGUUAGAGAAAAUAGGAGUAAGAAAGAUUUUCUAGAUAAAUGCAUCUAUGCUUUAUCUUGUCCCCAACAAUUUUUCUUUGGGAUUUGUUAAAUCCAAUGUAAAUAAAGAUUUUUCCAAGCAUGCAUAGGAGAGGAAAAAGAAAAGAGAAGUCAAUCGACUAGGCAAACAAACUAUAUAGCGGUUUUAGAGAGUCAAACCAAAAAUAAAAAGGUCCAAGCUUUUGUUAGGCAUGUGUUCAUAGAUCAACAAUCUUUCUCUGCCAUGAAUGCAACAUCCAAGAAGCUUUACAAGAUUUCGGUGUUGAAGUUUUGCAAUGGAUUCAACUUCAUUUUUGAACUCUUUUAAUCCUUGUCUAGAAGUUUUUGACAUCAUCUUCACUGCUAUUUCUUGUCCCUCUUGCAAUAUUCCCUGAAAACAUCACAUUCUUUUUAUUAUGCAAGCUUUGUAGAUUAAAAUAAACUUAUCGAUAUUCAAUACAAGGAGUCCUAAAGAAACUAGAGAUACAAAAAUGUUGGCACAUACACUGGCUUCAAGACUUUAAAGCAUAUAGUGGCCUUGGUACAUGUUGCUUCAUUUAGAUACUAUGAGGAUUGGGACGUCAACUACUUCUCAAGAUGUUUAAUUGUGUAUCUAUAAUGUUUUAUUAACUUGUAACUUGUCUUCUUGCCCAAAGGGCAAAGUAUGACCAUACCUUAUAGACAGGUCCAAAACCACCCUCUCCAAGCUUAUUGUCACUAGAAAAGUUAUUAGUGGCAUUUAAUAAUGUAUCCAAGUCAAAUAAUGGUAACUCUAGAUGCUCUUGGCCUUCAUUGUUUUCACCUCCUUUUGAAUUGUGUUCCAUGUAUGCUGCAAAAUGGAGAAUAGAAUGAAGGAUUAAAGAAUUCACAAAUAUGGAAUUUAGCCUAUUUCCAAGCCUAAAUCAUUUCAUUAUUUCUAAAAUCAAGUCAAGUCAAUUCAUUCCUCUUUUUUUUUUAUUAUUAUUAUUAUUACGUAAUCAGACAAUGUGUAAAAGUACUUUUGACUAAUACAUAUGGUGGUAAAAGCACUAAGAUUUGUUACUUACCUUUUCUCUUUGGUUGUUUCUUCCUUUUCUUGAGCACAUACAAGGUCAGGACUAGACUUAAAAGAACUAUUCCUGUAAUUGAUAUAGAGAUGAUAAUGACCUGUUUUUUCUUCUUCUUGGAGCUGCUAUUUAUGCUUGAAGAAGCUUCUUGACACAAAAGGAAAGAAAUUAAGAAGGAAAGCCAGGAAAUGUAACAGAAAAACCAUAAAUUCCUAUGAGCGGUAACCAUUGAUCCAAAAUAUAUUUCUAGUUUACAACCAUGAAAGCAGGAGUUCAAGGAACUACGAUUGCCAUAGGAUUUGAGGGCAUAAAUCAGUUGGUGUAUUGGUGUGUUAUAGCAUUCUUACUAGAAUUGAAAUCUAAAAGAAAAAUAUUCCCAAGUUUUGAGUAGACCUCUGCUUUACACUCUAGUCUUUAGAUAAUACGUAUACUAUUCCAUGAAAUAAUGUGCAUGGUAGUUGGCCUCAGAUUUUUCACAUCAGCAAUAAUUGAGACAGAGGUAAAGCUGGAAGUCACAAAAUCAAACGAUAAAACUAGAGGCACGUAUGCAAGGUGAACAACUGAUUCAAAACCUUUGAAUAAAUAUACCAUGAAAUUUGUAUCAGAUUUAUGUUUCUCAGGUAAGAAAAAGAAAAGUUCAUACCUAAGUCUGCCGCAGCCAUCCUUACAUAAAACUCUUGCCCAUUUUCAGUGAAGUCUCUGAUGUCAAUCAAGUCACCAAACCAGAGCAAGCAUCCACUUCCUCCUCCUCUGAUAUCUGAAUUUGCAUAAGCAGUGCAAGAGCAGUUGCUCAAGCACAGGGAAGCACAUUCCUUAAGGUUCAUGCUUUCAUUAAACCAGGAGCUCCGUGUGUCUGGCAGUUUCACACCAGAGUACUUUACAAAUCCAUCACCCUUCUGGCAAUCCAGUGGAGUACUUCGAACGCAUCCAUUUGACCAGUCUUCCAUGUCCCAAUUGCUUUGGAACUUUGGCCUAAAUCCUUUCAUACACUCACAGUUCGGAGAUUGGUCAAUCUUACAGAUUCCAUUUACUCCACAUAUUGCAUAAUUGUCACACUGAUCCCUCUGUGCAGUUGAGUAAAGAGUCCAUUCAUUUUUUUUAUCAGUCCAUAUGGACCGCUGAGCUGCACCAUCAGGAGUUAACACAAGCCUCAUAAUAACAGAGCUGUUAACAAGAGAAUAAAUAUAAUAUAUCUCCUUUUCAUUAGAAACAUAUUCAUAACUAUAAACUGGGUUAAUUGUUAAUUGAGGAAUUCCACUGAAUCGAAUACCAUUCCAUGGUCCAGGGCGAAAUGCUACAGCUAAACCAUUCCUCAAAAGUAGUUGUGGAAAUCCACUAGGAUCAAUCCAAUAAGUAAAAUUACCUUUAGAAGGGUCAUCAGCACUCUUCCACGAUGACAGGUACCGAUCCAGGCCUGCUACUCUGUUCCUUCCAAGCUUCAUGCCUGGUAGAAGAGUAUCGCAUGGGUAAUCAAAACUCUGCCAUAGGAAGUUUUCUGGAUCCCUAUCAUUGCCAUUUCUCAUAACAAGAUUUCCAGACUCCAAAAGCU